RNAcentral lists this ribosomal RNA (253 nucleotides) under uncultured bacterium. Its description in RNAcentral is "partial 16S ribosomal RNA". It matches the Rfam family "Bacterial small subunit ribosomal RNA", at positions 524 to 776 of the family's 1533-position model. The record is from RNAcentral.
UACGUAGGGUGCAAGCGUUGUCCGGAGUUAUUGGGCGUAAAGAGCUCGUAGGCGGUCUGUCACGUCGGCUGUGAAAUCCCGAGGCUCAACCUCGGGUCUGCAGUCGAUACGGGCAAACUAGAGUAUUGCAGGGGAGACUGGAAUUCCUGGUGUAGCGGUGAAAUGCGCAGAUAUCAGGAGGAACACCGGUGGCGAAGGCGGAUCUCUGGGCCUUACCUGACGCUGAGGCGCGAAAGCUAGGGGAGCAAACAGG